Pseudophryne corroboree (corroboree frog) is the source of this 500-nucleotide long non-coding RNA. RefSeq lists it as uncharacterized. The transcript is spliced from 4 exons. Lineage: Eukaryota; Metazoa; Chordata; Amphibia; Anura; Myobatrachidae. The record is from RefSeq and is a predicted model, not a curated record.
AUCAGAUGCUAAACAGCAGAGUGACCUUGCUGCUGAAAACCAGGAUUGAUCUGUAGCUGCUUAGUGUUACUUUUUCAUUAUCCAGAGGCACAUGUUCAAGAUCCUGUCUGUCAAAAAAUUGACGCCAAAAUCCCAACACCUGCCUAAACACUGAUGCCAGAAUCCAGUACAAGUCAUCAUCCCGACUCCGGAAAUCCAUCGACCAGGAUCCCAAAGAUGCAGUGAAACACCACUAACAGUAAACUACAGAUGCUGGGCUGUGACUUUAAUGAAACAGGAAUUAGUUUAAAACAUGUUCAAAAUUGCAGAUGAAGCACAAUAGAACUUGGCAUGAAGAAAAGCUCUUCUCACACAGAUUCAGUACAUGUACAAAUGUCACACAUGAAAUUCAUCACUGCAGACUAGCAAUAUAGGUUUGUCGCUCCCAGUUGUUUUAUUAAUGCAAAUUAAGAUGCACAUUUUGAAUGGGAGAGUUUCUUGCUGUGAUUGAGUCUCCCAGA